RNAcentral lists this transfer RNA (76 nucleotides) under Candidatus Hydrogenedentota bacterium. Its description in RNAcentral is "tRNA-Ala". It matches the Rfam family "tRNA". Rfam says of the family: Transfer RNA (tRNA) molecules are approximately 80 nucleotides in length. Their secondary structure includes four short double-helical elements and three loops (D, anti-codon, and T loops). Lineage: Bacteria; Pseudomonadati; Candidatus Hydrogenedentota. RNAcentral also lists the same sequence under 3 other names. The record is from RNAcentral.
GGGGAUGUAGCUCAGUUGGGAGAGCGCUUGUCUGGCAGACAAGAGGUCAGGGGUUCGAUUCCCCUCAUCUCCACCA